Molecule: long non-coding RNA, 640 nt
Filed under: Glycine max (soybean)
Lineage: Eukaryota; Viridiplantae; Streptophyta; Magnoliopsida; Fabales; Fabaceae
Description: long non-coding RNA (GMAX_LNC003362)
Source: RNAcentral
CACAGAAUUGGUGCCGUAAGUGUGAAAGACGUGCUGUUGAGGAAUGACAGAGCAGUUCUCCUUUGGCAGAGAGAACAUGCACAAGCAUUCUUCUGGUUUGACAAAGGAGAAUUAUUGUCCUGUCAAUUUCUAACAGUUUAUGAUCAAUGCAUUAAUUAAAAUAGCUGUUUUCUUUUCUUUUUCAUUUUCUGCUAGAGACAUGUUUUAGAUUAUUGUGACAGUAAUAAAUCCAUUUACUUUCCUCCUUAACUAUCGAUUAUAUGCGGAUAAUUCUUCUAAAACUAAUGCCUUUUUUUUCAGAUGUGAGGAAAAUGGACAGUGAAGAAAUUCAAUUUUAAUUACGUGACGUGGAAGUGGAAAAUAGCAGAGAUUUUCCAAGAUUAUGCCCUUCACAUGAAAAGCAUCCACAGGAAAUGGCUUGUCUGUGGAAAGUAGCCACAAGAAAACUCUUAUUCAAUAUCAUGUGAUUAAAUUAAUCAAAAGUGAAAUUUAGGCUAGUAAUUUUUGUUAGCUACAUUGCUAUUUAACUGUAUACAAGUUAGAAUACUAAAUAAACUACCUACAGAAGGCAGAAGGAUCAUACAUCGUGUUCUUUAUUUGACAGAUAUUAAUAUUCUCUCAAUGUUUAACAACAGAGGAG